AGCAGUAGCCGCGGUAAUACGGAGGGUGCAAGCGUUAAUCGGAAUUACUGGGCGUAAAGCGCACGCAGGCGGUCUGACAAGUCAGAUGUGAAAUCCCCGGGCUUAACCUGGGAACUGCAUUUGAAACUGUCAGGCUGGAGUCUUGUAGAGGGGGGUAGAAUUCCAGGUGUAGCGGUGAAAUGCGUAGAGAUCUGGAGGAAUACCGGUGGCGAAGGCGGCCCCCUGGACAAAGACUGACGCUCAGGUGCGAAAGCGUGGGGAGCAAACAGGAUUAGAUACCCGAGUAGUCCCUGUCUCUUAUAC
This 303-nucleotide ribosomal RNA is filed under the name uncultured bacterium. RNAcentral's name for it is "partial 16S ribosomal RNA". It matches the Rfam family "Bacterial small subunit ribosomal RNA", at positions 507 to 807 of the family's 1533-position model. The record is from RNAcentral.